UCUCCGUUGGUGAACCAGCGGAGGGAUCAUUACCGAGUUUACAACUCCCAAACCCCUGUGAACAUACCUAUCGUUGCCUCCGCGGUGCCCGCUCCGGCGGCCCGCCAGAGGACCCCCGAACUCUUGUUUUAUACAGUAUCUUCUGAGUAACACGAUUAAAUAAAUCAAAACUUUCAACAACGGAUCUCUUGGUUCUG
Molecule: unclassified non-coding RNA, 197 nt
Filed under: plant metagenome
Description: partial contains small subunit ribosomal RNA, internal transcribed spacer 1, and 5.8S ribosomal RNA
Source: RNAcentral